GCCCAGCGGACUGCAGCUGUACUUUACAGCAUUUCCCUCGCUCUAACUCCCGCGAGACGUGCGGCCGUUAGAGCGUUGCCAUGGGUUACAUAGUUACAUAGCUGAAAAGAGACCACGUCUCGUGGGAGUUAGAGAGAGGGAAAUGCUGUAAAGUACAGCUGCAGUGCGCUGG
Non-coding RNA from Pelobates cultripes (western spadefoot toad), 172 nucleotides. NCBI's taxonomy places the organism in Eukaryota, Metazoa, Chordata, Amphibia, Anura, Pelobatidae. The record is from the annotation of a GenBank genome assembly.